GGAGAGUAAAGCUAUCUGGGAUAGCGGCUUCCUGCUAAGAAGUUCGUACUGUAAAAGGUAUUUGGUUCGAUUCCAAUGCUCUCCGC
RNAcentral lists this transfer RNA (86 nucleotides) under Emticicia aquatilis. RNAcentral describes it as "tRNA-Ser". Lineage: Bacteria; Pseudomonadati; Bacteroidota; Cytophagia; Cytophagales; Leadbetterellaceae. The record is from RNAcentral.